RNAcentral lists this long non-coding RNA (1256 nucleotides) under Homo sapiens (human). RNAcentral describes it as "HSALNT0334329". Lineage: Eukaryota; Metazoa; Chordata; Mammalia; Primates; Hominidae. The record is from RNAcentral.
AAAUGGAGGGUGCUAGAACCUUGUGACUUUGGCCAGGCACCAAUCAUCUGCCUCCUUCUGUGCCUGCCUGGCUGCCCCUACCCUGGGGCUCCCUCCUAGCCCCCACCUCACCUACUGGCUCACUGAGACAGAGCCAAACAUGAAAGGGAAGGUGACGGCCUGGCCAUAGGGCCCAGGAAAAUGCAGGUAUCAUUAACAGCCUGGAGCACUGUGGCCUGUCCACUCUCAACCCUCUGCUGCCCACCCCUUCCUGGAAUAGACCCCAGGCCACAUACAGAGGGGGCAAGCCCAAGGUAUGAUACCAGCAGGGCCAAGUGGACUGUCCAGAUGGGUAACGGGGGCCUGCCUUCCUCUGGCCUCCACAUAGGGGCCGCAGGUGUUCACAUGGUUGGAAAUGGGAGGGCCAAUGCUGUUCAUAGGCCGCUGUCUGGUCCACAGGACUCAACUGGCCCUCCGAACGCUAUCCCACUUUCCAGCCAGGAUUGAAGGAGAUCCCAUCUUGGGUCUAAAGGAAUGGGGGUGAAGACUGCAUCUUGUCGUUCCAGUUCCACCCCAUUCUGGCAUGGGAAGCAUGUGUGGGCUUCUACUCUAUGGGAGAUUCAUAGCCUCAAUCCUUAAGGAAUUCUCAAUCUGAAAGGAAAACACAAACCCUGACCUCAGGGAGCUCCCAGUUUGACAGUGGAGACAGAGAGGCCCUGCAUCAAGUAGAAAAACAACCCCCACUGCUCUCAAGCACACAGCAAUGAAGAUAUGUAUCCUUGGUGCUACAGGCAAAUGCUGACGAUACGACAGUGAAUACAACAUGAAAAAACAAGCACACUUCUCACCCCUAUGGAGCUUUAUUCUGGUCAGGCAGAAGGAGAAGGAAAUGUAAACAUGCAAGGUCAGGAGCAACUUUUUGGCACUCCCAUUUUGCAGAAGAGGAAACAGCCUGCCUAGGUCUGCUGAUUCCUGUCCUGCCUCAGGCAGGCCCGUCAGAAGGUAUCCGGAAGAAGGCAUUGUUGUCAUAGGAGAUGACAGCUCCAUGCCUGUUACUGCCCCUGAAGACCUUCCAGUGCAGAAGAUGUGGAGGUGGAAGGCAGUGGAUGUUAAUGAUCCUGACCUCAAAUAGGCCUAGGCUACCGUAUAUGUUUGUGUCUUCGUUUUUCACAAAAAAAAAUUUAAAUUUAAAAACAGAAAACAGCUUAUAGAAUAAGGACGUAAAAAAGAAAAUAUUUUUGUAGAGCUGUACCAUGCGUUUGUGUUUUAAGCUGUGU